Long non-coding RNA from Amphiprion ocellaris (clown anemonefish), 3076 nucleotides. NCBI's taxonomy places the organism in Eukaryota, Metazoa, Chordata, Actinopteri, Pomacentridae. The record is from Ensembl.
GUGAAGACAGAGAGCAGCAGCUUCCAUCUUUACUGAGCAGAAACACAGCAGGAAAGUUGAACGUUGCUUCUUUCAAACAUCCACUUACAGUCAAUUUAUCAGAGACAAGCUUUAGUUAAAGACAUUAGAAACAAGACUAGUGAGGGAGGCCACCAAGACAACUAUGACUCCUCUGAAGGACUUAUAUAUUGUAGAUUCUCCCUGAAGGUGUCAAAACUAGUUUUUAAAUGUGCAGUGAAGGUAAUAAUGAAUGUGUUGAUGUUUAAAUGCUGCAUAUCUGCGAUAAAUAACAGGGAGUUUUUAUCUUGUGUUUAGAUGAAGUUAAAGGUGAUAAAUGGAACCUGUGAGUAUUAAGAACAGAGAAUAACAAACUGCUGAAACAGUUGGUCUGUGCUUCUGUCAGUGAAAGCUAAACAGGAAGUAGUUGGUUUAAAUAUCGGCAGAAUGAGAAGAGCUUUAAAUGUCAGAGUCUCCAAAACACCGGAGAAAGUUGCUGAUUUGUCGUUGAUCGCUGUUGACAAAAGAUAAAUAAAUUUAAAAAGUCACCAGGAGGAUUUGGAAAGUUGCCAGAUUUAGGGAAAACGUAGCCCAGUUUGCAUCAGUUGUUGGACGGCUUUCAGUUCGUGAACUGGUUCCAUCUGAAGUCACGUGAUUUAAAAGAAUCAGAGAAGUGAAGCUCCGCCUGCUGCUCUAUCAGCUCUGGAGAGUUUACAGAGUUUCUGCCAGAUGUGUGUCUUCUUUACUCUGCUGCUCCUCACAGAUUCGACUCUAAAAUAAUAAUCAGUAAAUAACAUUAAUGUGUGUCUGCUGGUUAAACUUUGGGUUUUUUUAAUUGAAUAUUUGUACCAGACUACCAGGAUCAGAGGAAGAAGACGGUAAAAUGUCUGCUGGAACAUCUGAGUUAUUCUGUCUGAUCGCCUGUUUCCUGGUUUGUUCCUCUGAAGCUCAGAAAAUCAUCACAGCUGCUCUUGGACAGGAUGUCAUUCUACAACAACAUCAGAGCUGUAGAGUGGAGCAGACCUGAAAUGCAAUCAGAAUAUGUUCUGUUCUACCGAGAUGGACGCUUAGAUCCAUACAACCAGCAUCCAUCUUAUAAGAACCGGGUGGAUCUGCAGGACAAAGAGAUGAAGGACGGAGACUUUUCUCUGAUUCUGAGGAAUGUGACGAUGGAGGACAAUGGAACAUACGAGUGUCGUGUUUUUGAGAAAGGAAAGAUUGAUCCCAUCAGCAAUAUCAUCCUGGAAGUUCAUCUAUCAGGAGACAAGAGUGGAAUCAUUGGAGAUGGAGAAGACAAGGAUGGAGGGAACAAGGAUGGAGGGAACAAGGAUGGAGGAGACAGGAAUGGAGGAGAUAAGGAUGGAGGAGACAAGGUUGGAAUCAUUGUAGGAGCAGCAGUGGGUGUGAUUCUUCUUCUUGCUGUGGCUUUGGUUGCUUUUCUGAUCUGUAGACGACACACGAGGAAGAAUCCCGACCUCCCAGUUCCUCCUGAUGAUGAAGCAGCAGCUGAACAGAUGUUAUGAAACAAAGACGUGAAAGUUUUUCUGGACAGCAGCAGAACAAAGCACAGCUUCUGUAACUCUGAUGGAACCAGCAGCAGCAGAACAAAGAGAAUCCAGGUGUGGACCAACCAUGUGGUCUCUCCUUUAACUGCCACCUUAUGGUGGUGGAGGGUUUGUGAGCUCAGAGGAUGCUGGGAGAUCUGCUGUCUGGAGUUCAGCUCCUGGUAGAGUUUCUAUUGGCAGACUGGUCCAGAAACAUCAAGUCCUCCCAACAUCUCCAUCAUCUAGAUUUAUCCUGUGGAUUGUUGCUGCUGCUGCUGCUGCUGGUCUUCAUCAACUUUUCUACUCUGUUGGUUUGUCUGGAAAUAAAUGUGUUCCAAAGCUCUGCAUGUUAGAACCUGAUGAAAUGUUGUGGAUGUAAAGUGUUCUGUCAGAUGAGAUCAGAACCACAUAGAAAAGUUCUGAUUGUCCAGAAUGAAGCACAAGUGAUGAACAGAACUUUAGAUUGAACUUGUUUUAAUGUUUUAUCUGUCAGCAGCUCUGAUGAUGUUCUCAACUGUUUACAGGGUAAAGGUGCAGAUAAUAUUAUGUAUUUUAGAUAUAUUUUAUCCUGCCUACCUGAACUGGUGAAAACUGUGUGGCAAAAUGCCUCAUAGCGCCCCCUACACUUUCCUACAGGCAGCACGUUUCACCUACAACCUCCAGAUUUGGUCAGCAUUUGCAGCACAUCAGGCUUAAUAAAACAGUCAGUCGUGGCCAUGUUCUAAACCCAACAGGAAGUCCACCAUUUGAUCAUGUUCAACAACGAAUUCCUCCUAGAGGGGAACUCCAAGAACAUUCAGAUUUGGUCAGUAGGACGUAGUGAUGAAAAGUUAUCAAAACCUUCUGCAUCAGUAAAAGGGCCAUGGACAUUUUAAACACUAUUUGAGCUUUAGUAUGUUCCUAAGACCUGUCUGUGUCAUUUAGCCUCCUUAUAAACACAUUAUAGCUGUGAAAAUUCUCUAUGUUCACAUGUACUGUUUAUAUAAACUUUGUGCCAUAAUCCUUGAAAUUGGUACAGUGAAGACCUGUUCAAUGCUGUUUGCAGCUUUAAUAUGUUUUGUUGUUAAUCUGCAGAUAAAUGUAGUCCAGUAAAAUAACAUUGUUUGCUACUGAACUGUAGUGAAGGUUGAAUAGAAUAAACAGAAUUUAAACUGAUAGAAUGAACUGAGUUACUUCACAGACAGGAUUGUUUAUGUUUUAACACACUGGAAAUAAUGAACUUUACUGUAAAUAAUGAACUUUACUGUAAAUAAUGAACUUUGCUGUAAAUAAUGAACUUUACUGUAAAUAAUGAACUUUACUGUAAAUAAUGAACUUUGCUGUAAAUAAUGAACUUUACUGUAAAUAAUGAACUUUACUGUAAAUAAUGAACUUUACUGUAAAUAAUGAACUUUACUGUAAAUAAUGAACUUUACUGCUGUUUGACUGUCUUUGUUCUUUGUUGUCUAAUAAAGGUUGUUUCCCCAGAUUGUGAUCCUGCUGGUUCAUGUCUGACUACAACCUGUUGAACUGGUUCAGAACAAACAUAGAUCAGG